RNAcentral lists this ribosomal RNA (756 nucleotides) under uncultured Sebacina. RNAcentral's name for it is "partial 28S ribosomal RNA". It matches the Rfam family "Eukaryotic large subunit ribosomal RNA", at positions 216 to 962 of the family's 3401-position model. Lineage: Eukaryota; Fungi; Basidiomycota; Agaricomycetes; Sebacinales; Sebacinaceae. The record is from RNAcentral.
GAAUCCCGUAUGUGGCACGGGCUCCCGUUACUCUGUGAUACACUCUCAACGAGUCGAGUUGUUUGGGAAUGCAGCUCCAAAUGGGUGGUAAAUGCCAUCUAAAGCUAAAUAUUGGCGAGAGACCGAUAGCAAACAAGUACCGUGAGGGAAAGAUGAAAAGCACUUUGGAAAGAGAGUGAAACAGUACGUGAAAUUGUUGAAAGGGAAACGCUUGAAGUCAGUCGUGCCCUUUGGGAUUCAGCCUUGCUUCUGCUUGGUUUACUUCUCUUUGGGUGGGUCAACAUCAGUUUGGGUCGGAGGAGAAAGACUUGGGGAAGGUGGCAGCAUUCGUGCUGUGUUAUAGCCCCUUGUUGUAUACUUCGAUUUGGACUGAGGACCGCAGCACGCCUUUGGCCGGGGCUCGCCCACGUACGUGCUUAGGAUGUUGGCAUAAUGGCUUUAAGCGACCCGUCUUGAAACACGGACCAAGGAGUCUAACAUGUGCGCGAGUGUUUGAGUGUUAAACUCAGACGCGAAAUGAAAGUGAAAGGUUGGGAACACUUAUGUGUGCACCGACGCCCGGAGCUGACCUUCUGUGACGCAUCUGCGGUAGAGCGUAUAUGUUGGGACCCGAAAGAUGGUGAACUAUGCCUGAAUAGGGUGAAGCCAGAGGAAACUCUGGUGGAGGCUCGUAGCGAUUCUGACGUGCAAAUCGAUCGUCAAAUUUGGGUAUAGGGGCGAAAGACUAAUCGAACCAUCUAGUAGCUGGUUCCUGCC